CCUACGGGUGGCAGCAGUGAGGAAUAUUGGUCAAUGGGCGGGAGCCUGAACAAGCCAAGCCGCGUGAGGGAAGAAGGUACAGCGGAUCGUAAACAUCUUUUGUCAGGGAACAAAGGCGGGGACUAGUCCCCGGAUGAGGGUACCUGAAGAACAAGCAUCGGCUAACCCAGUGCCAGCGGCCGCGGUAAGACGGAGGAUGCGAGCGUUAUCCGGAUUUAUUGGGUUAAAAGGGGGAGCAGGCGGCCUGUUAAGUCAGCGAUAAAAGUCCGGGGCUCAACCCCGGCGAGCCGUUGAAACUGGCGGGCUGGAGUUGGAGAGAAGUACGCGGAAUGCGCGGUGUAGCGGUGAAAUGCUUAGAUAUCGCGCAGAACCCCGAUUGCGAAGGCAGCGUACCGGCUCCACACUGACGCUGAGGCACGAAAGCGUGGGUAUCGAACAGGAUUAGAUACCCCAGUAGUC
RNAcentral lists this ribosomal RNA (459 nucleotides) under uncultured bacterium. Its description in RNAcentral is "partial 16S ribosomal RNA". It matches the Rfam family "Bacterial small subunit ribosomal RNA", at positions 338 to 795 of the family's 1533-position model. The record is from RNAcentral.